UCCUAGUUAACCUAGGCAGUCUCAUUAGAGUUCCCAUCCAAAAUGUUGGCAACUAAUGAUAAGGGUUGCGCUCGUUGCGGGACUUAACCCAACACCUCACGGCACGAGCUGACGACAGCCAUGCAGCACCUGUGCACAGACCCCGAAGGGCUAUAACAUCUCUGCUAUAUUCCUGUGCAUGUCAAGCCUGGGUAAGGUUCUUCGCGUUGCAUCGAAUUAAACCACAUGCUCCACUGCUUGUGCGGGUCCCCGUCAAUUCCUUUGAGUUUCGGUCUUGCGACCGUACUCCCCAGGCGGAGUGUUUCACGCGUUAGCUGGGCCCCUGAUCCACGUAGACCAAGGGCGAACAAUCAUCGUUUACGGCGUGGACUAC
RNAcentral lists this unclassified non-coding RNA (373 nucleotides) under uncultured bacterium. Its description in RNAcentral is "contains 16S-23S intergenic spacer region". The record is from RNAcentral.